This 93-nucleotide transfer RNA is filed under the name Felis catus (domestic cat). It matches the Rfam family "tRNA". Rfam says of the family: Transfer RNA (tRNA) molecules are approximately 80 nucleotides in length. Their secondary structure includes four short double-helical elements and three loops (D, anti-codon, and T loops). The record is from Rfam by way of RNAcentral. Lineage: Eukaryota; Metazoa; Chordata; Mammalia; Carnivora; Felidae.
GCCUGGGUGGCUCAGUCGGUUGAGCGUGGGACUCUCGGGUUUCGGCUCCGGUCCUGAUCUCAGGGUGUGUGGGUUCGAGCCACACCACAGGCU